Molecule: long non-coding RNA, 241 nt
Organism: Argiope bruennichi
Lineage: Eukaryota; Metazoa; Arthropoda; Arachnida; Araneae; Araneidae
Exons: 3
Source: RefSeq, a predicted model, not a curated record
UACUUUGCAGUUAUGUAAAUAAGAAACAGAAACAAAUCAUUUCCCACGCUCUUUCCUGUGUUACGGUUCAAAUCUGUACCUAGGAUAAAAAUAAGUUUUCCUGUUCAGGAACUUGUUUAAGUCUCAGAAUAAUGUGAUUUAAAGGCGAACAUUUUACAGAACUAAAUUUUUGAAUGAAAACAAAUUGAAGGAUUUUGUGGUCUGCUUGGUGUUGCUUUUGGUAACCAUAUGAAAUAAUUAG